Molecule: ribosomal RNA, 460 nt
Filed under: uncultured bacterium
Lineage: Bacteria
Description: partial 16S ribosomal RNA
Rfam family: Bacterial small subunit ribosomal RNA
Source: RNAcentral
CCUACGGGCGGCAGCAGUGAGGAAUAUUGGUCAAUGGCCGGAAGGCUGAACCAGCCAUGCCGCGUGAAGGUCAGUGCCCUAUGGGCGUUAAACUUCUUUUGUGCGGGAGCAAUAAUGGUCACGUGUGGCCAGACGAGAGUACCGUACGAAUAAGCAUCGGCUAACUCCGUGCAAGCAGCGGCGGUAAUACGGGGGAUGCAAGCGUUAUCCGGAUUUAUUGGGUUUAAAGGGUGCGUAGGCUGUGAGUUAAGUCAGCGGUGAAAUGCCCCCGCUCAACGGGGUGAAGUGCCAUUGAUACUGCCUUGCUGGAAUGCGGAUGCCGUGGGAGGAAUGUGUGGUGUAGCGGUGAAAUGCAUAGAUAUCACACAGAACACCGAUUGCGAAGGCAUCUCACGAAUCCGCGAUUGACGCUGAUGCACGAAAGCGUGGGUAUCAAACAGGAUUAGAUACCCUAGUAGUC